AGAGUUUGAUCAUGGCUCAGAACGAACGUUAGCGGNNNNNUUAACACAUGCAAGUCGUGCGAGAAAGGGGAAACCCCGGUAAAGCGGCGCACGGGUGAGUAACACGUAGGUAAUCUACCCCCAGGUGGUGGAUAACGUUCCGAAAGGAGCGCUAAUACAGCAUGAGACCACGGGCUCGCAAGAGCUUGAGGUCAAAGCCGGCCUCUUCACGAAAGCUGGCGCCAGGGGAUGAGCCUGCGGCCCAUCAGCUAGUUGGUAGGGUAACGGCCUACCAAGGCGAAGACGGGUAGCUGGUCUGAGAGGAUGAUCAGCCACACUGGAACUGAGACACGGUCCAGACUCCUACGGGAGGCAGCAGUGGGGAAUCUUGCGCAAUGAGCGAAAGCCUGACGCAGCGACGCCGCGUGAGUGAUGAAGGCCUUCGGGUUGUAAAGCUCUGUGGAGGGGGACGAAUAAGUCGUGGCUAACAUCCACGAUGAUGACGGUACCUCUUUAGCAAGCACCGGCUAACUCUGUGCCAGCAGCCGCGGUAAGACAGAGGGUGCAAACGUUGUUCGGAAUUACUGGGCGUAAAGCGCGUGUAGGCUGUUUCGCAAGUCGGGUGUGAAAGCCCUGGGCUCAACCUAGGAAGUGCACUCGAAACUGCGAGACUGGAGUCCUGGAGAGGAAGGCGGAAUUCUCGGUGUAGAGGUGAAAUUCGUAGAUAUCGAGAGGAACACCGGUGGCGAAGGCGGCCUUCUGGACAGUGACUGACGCUGAGACGCGAAAGCGUGGGGAGCAAACAGGAUUAGAUACCCUAGUAGUCC
RNAcentral lists this ribosomal RNA (806 nucleotides) under uncultured bacterium. Its description in RNAcentral is "bacterial SSU rRNA". It matches the Rfam family "Bacterial small subunit ribosomal RNA", at positions 8 to 796 of the family's 1533-position model. The record is from RNAcentral.